CCUAGGCUCACGGAGGCGAUGAAGGACGUGAUAAGCUGCGAUAAGCUUCGGGUAGGUGCAAAUAACCCUUGAUCCGGAGAUUUCCGAAUGGGACAACCUAGCCGUCUGAAGGACGGUUACUAGCACUUAAGUGUUAGAGCUAACGCAGGGAACUGAAACAUCUUAGUACCUGCAGGAAGAGAAAAUAAAUGAAUGAUUCCCCCAGUAGUGGCGAGCGAACGGGGAACAGCCCAAACCAGUGGCGUCGCAAGGCGUGGCUGGGGUUGUAGGACCGCAACAUUGUAUGCAAAUCGUGAACAGAACACUUUGGAAAAUGUGACCAUAGACGGUGAUAGUCCAGUAUGUGAAGCGAAAUGCAGCAUAGCGGUAUCCUGAGUAACGCGGGACACGAGGAAUCCUGCGCGAAUCUGCCGGGACCAUCCGGUAAGGCUAAAUACUCCCGUGAGACCGAUAGCGAACGAGUACUGUGAAGGAAAGGUGAAAAGAACCCCGAGCAGGGGAGUGAAAUAGUUCCUGAAACCAUACGCCUACAAGCGGUCGGAGCAUCUUACGAUGUGACGGCGUGCCUUUUGCAUAAUGAUCCUACGAGUUACCGUCACUGGCGAGGUUGAGUGUCAUGAGACACGUAGCCGCAGUGAAAGCGAGCCUGAAUAGGGCGCAUAGUCAGUGGGGGUAGACGCGAAACCAAGUGAUCUACACUUGGCCAGGAUGAAGUCCCGGUAACACGGGAUGGAGGUCCGCACCAAUAAGCGUUGAAAAGCUUCUGGAUGAGCCGAGUGUAGGAGUGAAAGGCCAAUCAAACUUGGAGAUAGCUCGUACUCCCCGAAAGGCAUUUAGGUGCCGCGUCGGAUGGUCACCGUGAGAGGUAGAGCGACCGAUAGGACAAGAGGGCUUCACCGCCUAUCGAGUCCUGACGAACUCCGAAUGCUCACGGUCUGCAGUCCGGCAGUAAGGGGGCGGGUGCUAAGGUCCGUCCCCGAGAGGAGAAGAAUCCAGACCGCCGUCUAAGGUCCCGGAGUUCUGCCUGAGUUAGUCUAACGAAGUCUGGUCCCUAUGACAGCUAGGAUGUUGGCUUGGAAGCAGCCAUUCAUUCAAAGAGUGCGUAACAGCUCACUAGUCGAGGGUCCGGGCAUGGAUAAUAAUCGGGUAUAAGGCAGACACCGAAGGCGCGGGAUAGCAUUUAAGAAAGUAUCGGUAGGGGAGCAUACUCACAGCGUGGAAUGGUGUACGUAAGUUAUCCUGGAGCGGUGAGUAAAGCAAAUGUAGGAAUAAGUAACGAUAAGGAGGGUUAGAUUCCCUCCCGCUGUAAGACCAAGGUUUCCCGGGCAAUGCCAAUCAGCCCGGGGUCAGUCGGGUCCUAAGUCUAAGCCGAACGGCGAUGGCGAUGGCAGAGACGGUUAAUAUUCCGUCACUGCCGCAUGGGGCGACGUGGAGACGGAGCAGUGAAACCACCGCGGGGCGACGGAAGUCCCCGUUGAAGAGUGUAGGUGUUGAGGAUGGCAGGCAAAUCCACCGUCCGAGCUGAACUUGAUAGUAUGGAGUCUUCUUCGGAAGAAUCCAAUAGUGUGGGUAAUCAUACUCCCGAGAAAAUCCGCUAAGCUUAACCCAUGCGGCACCCGUACCGCAAACGGACACACGUGGUCGGGUAGAACAUACUAAGGCGUUGAGAGAUUCAUGGUUAAGGAACUAGGCAAAUUGACCCUGUAACUUCGGGAUAAAGGGUCCUCGUGAUGAGCGAGGCGCAGAGAAUAGGUCCAGGCAACUGUUUAACAAAAACACAGGGCUGUGCAAACUCGAAAGAUGACGUAUACAGCCUGACACCUGCCCGGUGCCGGAAGGUUAAGAGGAGAUGUCACACUUAUGUGGAAGCAUUGAAUUGAAGCCCCGGUAAACGGCGGCCGUAACUAUAACGGUCCUAAGGUAGCGAAAUUCCUUGUCGGGU
RNAcentral lists this ribosomal RNA (1942 nucleotides) under human gut metagenome. Its description in RNAcentral is "bacterial LSU rRNA". It matches the Rfam family "Bacterial large subunit ribosomal RNA", at positions 31 to 1977 of the family's 2925-position model. The record is from RNAcentral.